AUGUUUUUUGCCCCAGUUGCUCCGAUCCGACGAGCCAAGAAGAUGAACGGCGCGCCGAUCCCCGCGGCGGCCGGCGCCGACGCCGCGGCGCCCAGGAAGAAUGCGGUCGCCGAGAUGGCCAGGCACCUCACCGUCGACACGGACGACGCCUUCGCCGGCCUCCUCGAGCUCGCCGCUGACGACGACGCGGAAGGCCUGCGCCGCGCGCUGGAGCGCGCGCCCCCCGCCGCCGCGGACGAGGCCGGCCUCUGGUACGGCCGCCGGAAGGCGCUCGAGCAGCGCACCCCGCUCAUGGUGGCCGCCACCUACGGCAGCCUCGCCGCGCUCCGCCUGCUGCUGUCCCUCCCCUCCGUCGACGUCAACCGCCGCUGCGGCCCCGACGGCACCACCGCCCUUCACUGCGCCGCCUCUGGUGGCUCGUCCUCGGCCGUCGAGGCCGUCAGGCUGCUCCUGGUGGCCGGGGCCGACGCCGACGCCACAGAUGCGUCCGGGUGCCGUCCUGCUGAUGUGAUCUCUGUGCCGCCGAAGAUGAUUGAUGCAAAGAUCGCCCUCCAGGAUCUGCUUGGGCUCCCAAAGUCUGGGCAUGGCGUGCUCCGGGUGGUGACAAGGGCCACAAACCUGACCUCGUCGCCGGUGUCAUCACCCACCGCCGAGGACGCUCGGUCUCCAUCAGCUGCUGUGAUGAUGAUGUCAAAGUUCCCAGACCUGCCGAGGGUUGCCACUUCAGAGAAGAAGGAAUACCCAGUGGAUCCAUCCCUGCCGGAUAUCAAGAACAGCAUCUAUGCUUCUGACGAGUUCCGCAUGUACUCCUUCAAGAUCAGGCCGUGCUCCCGGGCGUACUCGCAUGACUGGACCGAGUGCCCCUUUGUGCACCCUGGGGAGAACGCCCGGCGCCGCGAUCCGCGCAAGUAUCACUACAGUUGUGUUCCAUGCCCUGAUUUCAGAAAAGGUGUGUGCCGGCGUGGAGACAUGUGUGAGUAUGCUCAUGGGGUGUUUGAGUGCUGGCUCCACCCAGCGCAAUACCGCACUCGCCUCUGCAAGGAUGGCACCGGCUGCAAUCGCCGCGUCUGUUUCUUCGCGCACACCACCGAUGAGCUCCGCCCGCUGUAUGUCUCCACUGGGUCUGCAGUGCCAUCCCCUAGGGCCUCAGCAACGGCUGCAAUGGAGAUGGCGGCAGCAAUGGGCUUGAUGCCUGGUUCUCCGUCAUCGGUUUCGGCAGUCAUGUCCCCGUUUACCCCACCGAGGUCUCCUUCUGGCAAUGGGAUGCCCCCUUCUCUGGGCUGGCAGCAACCAAAUGUUCCGACGCUACACCUUCCGGGCAGCAGCCUUCAGUCGAGCAGACUCCGAAGCUCACUUAAUGCAAGGGAUAUGCAUAUGGAUGACUACUCCCUGUUGCAGGAUAUUGAUUCCCAGCUUAUAAACGAUCUGUGCUACUCGCGUCUUGGUUCAUCAGCAGGAGGGAACCACAGUUCUCGGACCAAGAGUCUGAACCCUUCAAACCUGGAUGAUCUCUUCUCUGCUGAGAUGGUCUCGUCCCCGAGGUACAACAAUGCUGAUCAAGGUGCUAUGUUUUCACCUUCCCAGAAGGCUGCUAUCCUUAAUCAGUUCCAGCAACAGCAGCAACUUCUUUCACCAAUCAACACAGGGUUCUCACCAAAGGCUGUGGACAACCAGCAGUUGCAUUCACGCUCAUCUCUACUGCAAGCAUCACUUGGGAUAUCCUCCCCUGGCCGGAUGUCCCCCCGAUGCGUCGAAUCUGGGUCGCCAAUGAACUCCCACCUAGCUGCCGCCCUUGCCCAGCGUGAGAAGCAACAGCAGCAGCAGCAGCAACAGCACCAGCAGACAAUGAGGAGCCUCAGUUCUCGCGAUCUCGGGCCCAGUGCUGCAAGAGCAUCGGCUGCUGUUGGCUCUCCUCUGAGCUCAUCAUGGUCCAAGUGGGGAUCUCCUUCAGGAGCUCCGGAUUGGGGCGUCAACGGUGAAGAACUGGGUAAGCUUCGCCGGUCAUCUUCCUUUGAGCUGAGAUCAGGCGGCGACGACCCAGAUCUCUCCUGGGUGCACACACUGGUUAAGGAGUCUCCACCAGAGAAGCAAGCCACCACAGCUGAAUCCAUCAACAACUCUGUCAGACCUUCACCUCAAAUGCAUCCCGGUGUAAGUAAUGGUGAAGGCUCCGGUGCGAGCACGCAGCUGAACCGACACGACCAAGCCGCAGUCAUUGGAGCGCUGCUCGAGCAGAUGCAGCUUGACGAGCAGAUCGGUAGUCUAGCAACAUAG
RNAcentral lists this ribosomal RNA (2274 nucleotides) under Triticum aestivum (bread wheat). RNAcentral describes it as "partial small subunit ribosomal RNA". The record is from RNAcentral. Lineage: Eukaryota; Viridiplantae; Streptophyta; Magnoliopsida; Poales; Poaceae.